Lycium barbarum (goji berry) is the source of this 1277-nucleotide long non-coding RNA. RefSeq lists it as uncharacterized. The transcript has 5 exons. The record is from RefSeq and is a predicted model, not a curated record. Lineage: Eukaryota; Viridiplantae; Streptophyta; Magnoliopsida; Solanales; Solanaceae.
GAUGCUGUAAGUUGCUGGAGAAAUUGAAGACAUUAUGCUACAAUUUCACAAAACCUGUAUUGUGUACCAGAUGCGGAAGAGCUGUGUCCAAGCUUUUCUACUGAGGUUGGCUUCAGAAACCCAAUCAGUUGUCUGAUCGGACAUGGUUUGGUGGAGUUUCAUCCAACAGAUAGAAAAGGGAAUGUUGGUUUCUUAAAGUGGAACUGAACACGUCUUGCCAAUAUGGCUUGAUGAUUUGGAAAGUCAUAGCUUAUACUGAUGUGGAAAAGAGGCGUGGGUCCUGGUGACCUGACCUGUUACUGCUGGGAUUGAUUUGUAGUAAUGAAGGGUUGUAAAUGGAGCUCAUCUCAAUCAACAUAGUGUCAACUGGAGAACUAUCUCCCACUGACUAUUUGACAUACUCAUAGUAGCUGCAUUUCUUUGAAGAUACUUGCUUUCACAAAAGCCCCUGAAAAAUUGGAGAAUUGUCGGAGUGUGGAAAGUAGCAAAACUUCUUAACAAGAGCUAAGAAGUACUGGGAAGGAGCAGUUUCUUUGGCCUUUUGGUUAGGUGUUCGGUGUUCCUUAAUUUCAUGAAGAAAACUAUCUGGUACAGUACCUCCGAGAUGAAUUCUUCUGAGUCAUACUACAGGGGAAGAAAACUUCGGUUUUAUCAUGUUUGUGGCCAUUGUGGCAUUAUGUAGCUAAUUAGGUUAGCAUCAUCAGUUCAGCAGCAUAUAGAAGGCUUAAGGUCAAUGGAGAUGACAUAUUUCACUUACUGAUCAGUUUGAAAAUCUACUGCUGUUGAGGCACUAGUCCUUUAGUUGAUCUGGGAUCUUUUGGCAUUACAUAACAGAGGGUGUCUCACUCCGGAAGAUCUGGAAGCUCGGAAACAGGAGGUCAAAUCUGUUUUCAUCCGAAUAAGUAUCGACGAGGCUGUCAAGUAGUGGUUAAGUAUAAGUAAAUUGGGGCAUCAGGAUUUUGGAUUGGACAAAACCUGAUAUUAUCAUGGAUGAAAUUAUGUAUGAAGUUACAUUCUGAAGUUCUCUUUAGAAAUGAAGUUACUCUAGUUCAUCUUGAAGAAAAUUUAAGAGAAAAUCUGCAUUGCCUUUUAACUAAAGCAUUAUGACGAUACAUCAAGUUCUCCAAUGCAAAUAUUGAUAGAACAAAGCUUGGUAUUGGUUUUACAACCAGGAUACCAGUUUUAUAACUUGUAUUCACAUCAUACAUUCAUAUUGGCAUUAUGGGGUUUCAGAUAUAUGUUGUAUUCAAUCCACAUUUCUCGGUUGUGAUAAAGAA